GACGAACGCUGGCGGCGUGCUUAACACAUGCAAGUCGAACGGAAAGGCCUCUUUCGGGGGGUACUCGAGUGGCGAACGGGUGAGUAACACGUGAGUAACCUGCCCUUGACUUUGGGAUAACUUCAGGAAACUGGGGCUAAUACCGGAUAGGAGCUCCUGCUGCAUGGUGGGGGUUGGAAAGUUUCGGCGGUUGGGGAUGGACUCGCGGCUUAUCAGCUUGUUGGUGGGGUAGUGGCUUACCAAGGCUUUGACGGGUAGCCGGCCUGAGAGGGUGACCGGCCACAUUGGGACUGAGAUACGGCCCAGACUCCUACGUGAGGCAGCAGUGGAUAAUAUUGCACAAUGGGUGGAAGCCUGAUGCAGCAACUCCGUGUGCGGGAUGACGGCCUUCGGGUUGUAAACCGCUUUCGCUCAUGACGAAGCUUUGUGUGACGGUAGUGGGUAAAGAAGCACCGGCUAACUACGUG
RNAcentral lists this ribosomal RNA (467 nucleotides) under uncultured bacterium. RNAcentral's name for it is "partial 16S ribosomal RNA". It matches the Rfam family "Bacterial small subunit ribosomal RNA", at positions 28 to 507 of the family's 1533-position model. The record is from RNAcentral.